UUUCGAAUCAUUCACAAUGGGCGAAAGCCUGAUGGUGCAACGCCGCGUGGGGGAUGAAGGUCUUCGGAUUGUAAACCCCUGUCACCAAGGAUAAACCGUAAUCUAUUAAUACUAGGUUGCCUGAUGUAACUUGGAGAGGAAGGAGUGGCUAACUCUGUGCCAGCAGCCGCGGUAAUACAGAGACUCCAAGCGUUAUUCGGAUUCACUGGGCGUAAAGGGUGCGCAGGCGGCCAGAUGUGUCAGAGGUGAAAUACUGCAGCUUAACUGUAGAACUGCCUUUGAAACUAUCUGGCUAGAGUAUCGGAGAGGUAAGCGGAAUUCCAGGUGUAGCAGUGAAAUGCGUAGAUAUCUGGAGGAACACCGAAGGCGAAGGCAGCUUACUGGACGAUUACUGACGCUCAGGCACGAAAGCAUGGGGAGCGAAAGGGAUUAGAUACCCCCGUAGUCC
RNAcentral lists this ribosomal RNA (448 nucleotides) under uncultured prokaryote. RNAcentral describes it as "bacterial SSU rRNA". It matches the Rfam family "Bacterial small subunit ribosomal RNA", at positions 355 to 796 of the family's 1533-position model. The record is from RNAcentral.